AAAAAAACCCAGAAAAGAAAUGG
RNAcentral lists this ribosomal RNA (23 nucleotides) under Stereophaedusa japonica. Its description in RNAcentral is "Phaedusa japonica partial 5.8S rRNA". The record is from RNAcentral. Lineage: Eukaryota; Metazoa; Mollusca; Gastropoda; Stylommatophora; Clausiliidae.